UCCGCCAGGAGCUUAUAUCUGGGACAGCCCCCACUGACUUAUAGGUGGAUCAGCCGAUCAGGAGCUCAUGUCUGGGACAGUCCGCUAGGAGCUUAUGCCUGGGACAGUCUCUCAUGAACUUUCGUACGUGGGAUAGCCGGUCAGGAGCUCAUCCUGGGACAGCCUUGAAGGGCUUUUAAGUGAAAAUUGAUUCGAAUGAUAAUUGAGGUAUAGACUUGGUUAGUCUAGAAUCAAAAAGAAAAAGGUAAAAAUCAUGUGAUUAUGAAAAG
RNAcentral lists this long non-coding RNA (269 nucleotides) under Elaeis guineensis (African oil palm). RNAcentral describes it as "long non-coding RNA (EGUI_LNC075711)". The record is from RNAcentral. Lineage: Eukaryota; Viridiplantae; Streptophyta; Magnoliopsida; Arecales; Arecaceae.